RNAcentral lists this ribosomal RNA (266 nucleotides) under uncultured Staphylococcus sp. Its description in RNAcentral is "partial 16S ribosomal RNA". It matches the Rfam family "Bacterial small subunit ribosomal RNA", at positions 96 to 355 of the family's 1533-position model. The record is from RNAcentral. Lineage: Bacteria; Bacillati; Bacillota; Bacilli; Caryophanales; Staphylococcaceae.
CGGCGGACGGGUGAGUAACACGUGGGUAACCUACCUAUAAGACUGGGACAACUUCGGGAAACCGGAGCUAAUACCGGAUAAGAUAUCGAACCGCAUGGUUCGAUAGUGAAAGANGGUUUUGCUAUCACUUAUAGAUGGACCCGCGCCGUAUUAGCUAGUUGGUGAGGUAACGGCUCACCAAGGCAACGAUACGUAGCCGACCUGAGAGGGUGAUCGGCCACACUGGAACUGAGACACGGUCCAGACUCCUACGGGAGGCAGCAGCA